RNAcentral lists this ribosomal RNA (253 nucleotides) under uncultured bacterium. RNAcentral's name for it is "partial 16S ribosomal RNA". It matches the Rfam family "Bacterial small subunit ribosomal RNA", at positions 524 to 776 of the family's 1533-position model. The record is from RNAcentral.
UACGUAGGGGGCAAGCGUUGUCCGGAAUCAUUGGGCGUAAAGAGCGUGUAGGCGGCUUGGUAAGUCCGCUGUGAAAGUCCAGGGCUCAACCCUGGAAAGCCGGUGGAAACUGUCAAGCUUGAGUCCGGAAGAGGCGAGUGGAGUUCCUGGUGUAGCGGUGAAAUGCGCAGAUAUCAGGAGGAACACCAAUGGCGAAGGCAGCUCGCUGGGACGGUACUGACGCUGAGACGCGAAAGCGUGGGGAGCAAACAGG